GGGGAUUUAGCUCAGUGGCACUGCAUCUGCCUCGAAAGCAGAAGGACCUGAGUUCAAUCCCCA
Non-coding RNA from Heterocephalus glaber (naked mole-rat), 63 nucleotides. The record is from Rfam. NCBI's taxonomy places the organism in Eukaryota, Metazoa, Chordata, Mammalia, Rodentia, Bathyergidae.